AAGGGGCGGCCUGCCUAACCAUGCAAGUCGAACGGGGUAUAUAAGCGGAAGUUUACGGAUGGAAGGUUAUAUACUUAGUGGCGGACGGGUGAGUAACGCGUGGGCAACCUGCCCCGUGCCGGGGGAUACCGCCUGGAAACAGGCGCUAAUACCGCAUAAGCGCAUACAGCCGCAUGGGUGUAUGCGGAAAGCUCCGGCGGCACGGGAUGGGCCCGCGCCCGAUUAGCCAGUUGGCGGGGUAACGGCCCACCAAAGCGACGAUCGGUAGCCGGCCUGAGAGGGCGGACGGCCACAUUGGGACUGAGACACGGCCCAAACUCCUACGGGAGGCAGCAGUGGGGAAUAUUGCACAAUGGGGGAAACCCUGAUGCAGCAACGCCGCGUGGGUGAAGGAGCGUUUCGGCGCGUAAAGCCCUGUCAGCGGGGAAGAAGAAAGACGGUACCCGACCAAGAAGCCCCGGCUAACUACGUGCCAGCAGCCGCGGUAAUACGUAGGGGGCGAGCGUUAUCCGGAAUUACUGGGUGUAAAGGGAGCGUAGACGGCGAGGUAAGCCUGAAGUGGAAGCCCGCGGCCCAACCGCGGAACUGCUUUGGGAACUGUUUUGCUGGAGUAUGGGAGGGGUAAGCGGAAUUCCUGGUGUAGCGGUGAA
RNAcentral lists this ribosomal RNA (650 nucleotides) under uncultured bacterium. RNAcentral's name for it is "bacterial SSU rRNA". It matches the Rfam family "Bacterial small subunit ribosomal RNA", at positions 32 to 685 of the family's 1533-position model. The record is from RNAcentral.